CACGUAGGGUGCGAGCGUUGUCCGGAAUUAUUGGGCGUAAAGAGCUCGUAGGCGGUGUGUCGCGUCGGCCGUGAAAACCUGCAGCUUAACUGUGGGCUUGCGGUCGAUACGGGCAUCACUGGAGUUCGGCAGGGGAGACUGGAAUUCCUGGUGUAGCGGUGAAAUGCGCAGAUAUCAGGAGGAACACCGGUGGCGAAGGCGGGUCUCUGGGCCGAUACUGACGCUGAGGAGCGAAAGCGCGGGGAGCAAACAGG
Molecule: ribosomal RNA, 254 nt
Filed under: uncultured bacterium
Lineage: Bacteria
Description: partial 16S ribosomal RNA
Rfam family: Bacterial small subunit ribosomal RNA
Source: RNAcentral